Molecule: ribosomal RNA, 32 nt
Filed under: Xylaria adscendens
Lineage: Eukaryota; Fungi; Ascomycota; Sordariomycetes; Xylariales; Xylariaceae
Also listed under: 1 other name
Description: partial 18S ribosomal RNA
Source: RNAcentral
GUCUCGUUGGUGAACCAGCGGAGGGAUCAUUA